This 611-nucleotide long non-coding RNA is filed under the name Rattus norvegicus (Norway rat). RNAcentral describes it as "long non-coding RNA NONRATT000601". Lineage: Eukaryota; Metazoa; Chordata; Mammalia; Rodentia; Muridae. The record is from RNAcentral.
GGAACCCCAAAAUGUACAACCUGCCAGAGGAACCUUUUCGGAGACAGUUUUGCCUCAUUAACCCAGGGGGGCGGUUCCAGGAGAGGACGAAGUCAUGGGAGACUAUGGGAAGGGAUAGAAGUGUACCAGAUCUUACCGGAGGUCUCCAGGAGCCAGAGAAGCAAAGAGUCACAGGGAAGCAGAAUGAUUUGUCAGACCAGAGCAGGUGUCAGACCUCUGAGGAAGGAAACAAGGGGCUCCCUGGGAGGCCUGUGCCGAGACAGGCUGUUCCAGGACACCGGCCAAUGGUCCGCAGACACACAGUCAAUGACGCAGCCAUACUUCAGGUCCCAGAGGUGACUGGCCACCUGACCACCCAAGAGGCUGGUGUUUCUCGGUCUUAGCAGGAAGGGACUGGAAAAUCUGCUGCUGAGACACGAGUCUACAGUAAGCUGGGAAGCAUGAACCCAGUGUAGAGCUAAGUAUACGUUGAACACCCGGCUUGAGGGCCAGCCCCUCGGAUUUACCACCCUCUCCUCUUCAAAGCGAACUAACACACUUGAAUAGGAAUGGGAGGGAGUGAACGAGCCCUCAUCUCAGCAUUUGGGUUUCCUGGUCGCCAUCAGCUCUGA